UACGAACGCUGGCGGCAGGCCUAACACAUGCAAGUCGAACGCCGUAGCAAUACGGAGUGGCAGACGGGUGAGUAACGCGUGGGAACAUACCCCUCGGUUCGGAAUAACUUAGGGAAACUUGAGCUAAUACCGGAUACGUCCGAGGUUUUAACCGGCCUCGGAGAAAGAUUUAUCGCCGGAGGAUUGGCCCGCGUCUGAUUAGCUUGUUGGUGAGGUAAUGGCUCACCAAGGCGACGAUCAGUAGCUGGUCUGAGAGGAUGAUCAGCCACAUUGGGACUGAGACACGGCCCAAACUCCUACGGGAGGCAGCAGUGGGGAAUAUUGGACAAUGGGCGAAAGCCUGAUCCAGCCAUGCCGCGUGAGUGAUGAAGGCCUUAGGGUUGUAAAGCUCUUUUACCCGGGAAGAUAAUGACGGUACCGGGAGAAUAAGCCCCGCUAACUUCGUGCCAGCAGCCGCCGCUGUAAU
RNAcentral lists this ribosomal RNA (466 nucleotides) under uncultured bacterium. RNAcentral describes it as "bacterial SSU rRNA". It matches the Rfam family "Bacterial small subunit ribosomal RNA", at positions 29 to 524 of the family's 1533-position model. The record is from RNAcentral.